ACUUCCGGUGUCUCCGCAUCGAGCCCUUGCGCACGACGGAGGGCGGCCCAUGGUCUGUGGGUCGGAUGUCUGGCGGUCACACCCGCCGGGAAGAUCUUCUGGCGGAAACAGAAUCUGCUCCUUUCGGGAAAGGCUGAUUGCGCGGUUACGUGCAGCGUGUGUUGAGGAGUGGCUCUGGAAACUUAAAGAGCCCGACGAUCAAGUGAUCUUGCCAACUACCGUUUUAAUCAGCAUGUUUUAUUUUGUUGUGGUACAGGCUCAGCCCAAUGCAAGCCCUGGCAGAUGUCUUCAACACCAGAGUGACACUCAGCCUGAAGGCCAGGAUUGAAGACUGGAAGUACAGGGGCAAGAAAUACCUUUGAAAAUACUCCAGUGUCCAAACUGCUCACUGGUGUUGCUGCCUUUUGAGCCAGGGCACGAGGCUUUGUUGAGGUCACUACUUUUCAUUCCCUCCAAGAUGGACAAGAUGUUUGUUUUGUGCACAGUAAGUGGAACACAGGGCCUCCGGCAUGGUGCUUGUAUGUUCCCUUCAGAAACUAAGGAAUGGAGCAGUGUCUUGAACGUGCUACACAAGCCCCCUAACAGCCAAGCGAAUCCAGCAGCUCUACAGACAUCCUUUCACUGAGCAGUUAUUUCUCCUCCGAUGUUCUGAUCGCUGUGGGCAGCCUCCAAACACUUUUUGAAAAAGCUGGAGAGAAAGGCGAGCUUGAAAAGGGGAAUGCAGGAUAGAGGCAAAGGGAGAGAAGCAGGCAAGCGACUCCACAAUGAUACUCAUUCCUUUAUUGUCAACUGUGUUCAUCUCAACAGGGCUGGGGCCUGCAGGCUGCUGGCAGCACCAAGUUAAGGUGCAUUUCCACUCAACAGAAAGGCCUCCAUCCUAAACCAAGGGGGCAGAGGUUAAUGCUUUAUAUAUAUUUAUAUAUUUAUAUAUUACAUAUGUCCUAGAUAUACAUAUGUCCCAUAUGUAUAGAGUGACAAGAAUGGGCCACUUUGUGUAACUUUAAUUAAAGGCCAUAGCAACAGACAUAGAAAUUUGAUCCUAAUUAAGGCCCGUACUUUGUCAAUCAAAUGUGUGAUACAGUAAAAGAAAAAGGAGAGA
Molecule: long non-coding RNA, 1099 nt
Filed under: Mus musculus (house mouse)
Lineage: Eukaryota; Metazoa; Chordata; Mammalia; Rodentia; Muridae
Description: RIKEN cDNA 1110002L01 gene
Source: RNAcentral